RNAcentral lists this ribosomal RNA (253 nucleotides) under uncultured bacterium. RNAcentral describes it as "partial 16S ribosomal RNA". It matches the Rfam family "Bacterial small subunit ribosomal RNA", at positions 524 to 776 of the family's 1533-position model. The record is from RNAcentral.
UACAGAGGGUGCGAGCGUUAAUCGGAAUUACUGGGCGUAAAGCGCACGUAGGUGGCGACGUAAGUCGGGUGUGAAAUCCCCGGGCUUAACCUGGGAAUGGCAUUUGGGACUGCAAGGCUUGAGUGCGGCAGAGGAGACUGGAAUUCCUGGUGUAGCAGUGAAAUGCGUAGAUAUCAGGAGGAAUACCGAUGGCGAAGGCAGGUCUCUGGGCUGACACUGACGCUCAUGCACGAAAGCGUGGGGAGCAAACAGG